CCACGCGCCCGCCAGGACUGAGAUAAGCCCGCUACAUUACUAUUACUCAGACCAGAGGCACAAAGAAAACUAUAAGACAACGCGACUUUUACAAUUUUAUCAAGCUUAUAUAAAUUCGAGCAAACGACAAAGCGCCUUCAUUCUACAAUUAUAUUAGCAAGCUAGGACUAGGAUUAUUGUUAGGAUAUAAAUAUAAAUCGAGUGCCAAGACUGUAUGUGUGACUGUGAACUGCUGAACUGCUGGUGUGUUGUGCGAACUUGAAGUUACGUUGGUGCAAGUGUCUUAUUUGUGAAUCGCGAUCGAUGCGUGGCUGCGUCGUUCGCGUGUGCCGGUAGAGGGCGUAAUUCGGAGUCGGCAAGAUUGAGGUGGUGGCCGGGUGCGGGUGGGGCAGGCGCGCGCGCGUGCGGCCGCUGCACGCGCUGGGCCGCGCGGCCGGCAUGUUGGCGUCACAACGCUCACAGUCGUGUAACGAGGAGGGCGCGUUCUUCGGCGCGCGGGCGCUGCGUCGGCCGCGCGGCAAGGGCAGCGGCAGCCCGCCUUGCUAGGGGUACGCCAUGUCGCUGCGCAGCCUGCACCGGAGGCUCUCCUCCGCUAACAACACAUGCGAGGAUGGUGGAGGCGGCGCAGCGACAGGCACGGGAGGGCGCG
Molecule: long non-coding RNA, 649 nt
Organism: Papilio polytes (common Mormon)
Lineage: Eukaryota; Metazoa; Arthropoda; Insecta; Lepidoptera; Papilionidae
Exons: 3
Source: RefSeq, a predicted model, not a curated record